Spodoptera litura is the source of this 1153-nucleotide long non-coding RNA. RefSeq lists it as uncharacterized. Lineage: Eukaryota; Metazoa; Arthropoda; Insecta; Lepidoptera; Noctuidae. The record is from RefSeq and is a predicted model, not a curated record.
GGUUUCAUAGCCCAAACAGAUCCGUAUAAAUUACUAAAUCAUAGAAAUGCAUCGCAUAAGUCCGUUUGUAAUAAAAGACGCGUUGCAAUUUUCAAUAGCAUGUGGUAUAUCGUACAAUUUUUUCAGCAUUGUCUUUGACUUUAUUGAUCCACCAGACGGUGAAGAUCCAAAAGCCGAUUGUGGAUGUUGUAAUAAAUGAAAAGCGUUUGAGAAGGAGAACCAAUAAAUUAGUGUCCUAGACCAUGUUAGUGACCAUUCCCAUCGAGACCGGGAAAAAAAACCUCCAGCUGAUGAUAUGAAAUGAAAAAAGUAUGAGAAGGACCGAUACGAGAAUUAGCGUCAUAGCACACGUUAGUUAUUACUCCCAUCGAGACCUGGAAAAUGAUCCUCCAGACGAUGACUUCAAAUGUAAAAAAGUAUGAGAAGGACCCAACCGAUAAUUAGCGUCAUUGACCACGUUAGUGUGCACUCCCAUCGAGAUCUGGAAGAGAAACCUCCAGAUGAUGAUAUAAAAUGUAAAUAAGAAAGUAAGAGAAGAACCCAAACGAAAAUUGAUAAGUAUUGAGAGGUUGCGGUGGGGGUGGUAUGUGGUAGAAAUAUGGUGGCGUGUACAUCAAGUCUUCAAGCCCUGGAGUUAUGGGCGUACCCCGAGAUGGAACCAUAGACCGCACGGUGCCAUACAAACUCCUGUGACGUGUCUUCCCGUGAACAUUCAUCAUCACACCGAAUUCACACUGGCUCAACAGUUUUGCACGAUUACACGAUUCACGUUAAAAAAUAGCUUUGUAAAAACUGCACGGUAAUAAAAUGGGUCACAUCGACCCUUUAGUUAAGACAGCGAAACUCAACCUUAAAGUACAACUUAAUUUUUAUGAAAUAAAAAAUAAGCUACCGAACUAUUGUUUUUUUUUUUAUAAGUAACGAGGUUGUCUAACAGAUAAAUAUUUUUUUUAAAUAUUAAGAUCUUUAGUUCCCCGUUUUGUGAACGUAGAUUGGUGGCUAGACGCGAGCGGCCAGUGUUGUCACUGUUUCAGGUUUAGAGCGUGAUUCGCUGGAGAAUGCAUUGUUCUAUCGUGAACACGUUACAUCUAAUUAUCAUAGUUUAUCUGCUUUUUCCAAUAGGGUACGUGGAGCGCGACGUAUCGACAUACUG